AUUGAACGCUGGCGGCAUGCUUUACACAUGCAAGUCGAACGGCAGCGCGGGCUUCGGCCUGGCGGCGAGUGGCGAACGGGUGAGUAAUACAUCGGAACGUGCCCAGUAGUGGGGGAUAGCUCGGCGAAAGCCGGAUUAAUACCGCAUACGACCUGAGGGUGAAGGCGGGGGAUCUUCGGACCUCGCGCUAUUGGAGCGGCCGAUGGCAGAUUAGCUAGUUGGUGGGGUAAAGGCCUACCAAGGCGACGAUCUGUAGCUGGUCUGAGAGGACGACCAGCCACACUGGAACUGAGACACGGCCCAGACUCCUACGGGAGGCAGCAGUGGGGAAUUUUGGACAAUGGGCGAAAGCCUGAUCCAGCAAUGCCGCGUGUGUGAUGAAGGCCUUCGGGUUGUAAAGCACUUUUGGCGGGAACGAAAAGGACUGUGCCAAUACCACGGUUCGAUGACGGUACCCGCAGAAUAAGCACCGGCUAACUACGUG
Molecule: ribosomal RNA, 484 nt
Filed under: uncultured bacterium
Lineage: Bacteria
Description: partial 16S ribosomal RNA
Rfam family: Bacterial small subunit ribosomal RNA
Source: RNAcentral